UAACGGCGAGUGAAGCGGGAUGAGCCCAUCACCGAAUCCCCUAGCAUCUCGCUAGCGGGAGCUGUGGUGUUUGAGACGUCACCUGUCGUCCGUACCGGUCGCCGAAGUCCUCCUGAUCGGGGCCUUUCCCAGAGUGGGUGUCAGGCCUUUGCUGGCGACUGGUCGGUCGGCUGCGAGCGUCCUAAGAGUCGGGUUGUUUGGGAAUGCAGCCCAAAGUAGGUGGUAAACUCCAUCUAAGGCUAAAUACUGGCACGAGUCCGAUAGCGGACAAGUACCGUGAGGGAAAGUUGAAAAGAACUUUGAAGAGAGAGUUCAACAGUACGUGAAACCGCCUAGAGGUAAACGGAUGGAUCCGCAAAGUCGGCCCGCGGAAUUCAGCUCGGAAGGCAGUCGCGCGGCGGGAGGCAGGAGAUCUGAUCGGACUCUCUUCCUGUCGCGACGGCAGCCGGCCGUGUGCACUUUCCGCGGGCAGAGCGCCACGACCGGUUCUCGAGCGGUCAGAAGGCGGCGAGCAAGGUAGGUGCGCGCUUCGGCGUUCACUGUUAUAGGCUCGCCUGUCCCGAUCCGCUUGGGGACCGAGGAGCCGCCGUCUGCGGCAAGGCCGCCUCGCUCUCUCGGGAUGUUCGACUGGCAGGGACUGGGCAACCCCCGUGUCUGCCGACCGCUUCCUGAGAUGGUCGGGGUGGGCCCGCAGGCAAAGGGUCAGUGGCACAUCGGUCGGUCCUCCAUCCGACCCGUCUUGAAACACGGACCAAGGAGUCUAACAUGCGCGCGAGUCGUUGGGCUGUACGAAACCCGAAGGCGAAGUGAAAGCGAGGGCCGUCUUUGACUGUGCUCAGGUGGGAUCCCGGCCCUCUCGUGGGCUGGGCGCACCACCGGCCCGCCUCGUCCGCGCUGUCGGUGAGGCGGAGCAAGAGCGUGCACGUUGGGACCCGAAAGAUGGUGAACUAUGCCUGAGUAGGACGAAGCCAGAGGAAACUCUGGUGGAGGUCCGUAGCGAUUCUGACGUGCAAAUCGAUCGUCAAACUUGGGUAUAGGGGCGAAAGAC
This 1048-nucleotide ribosomal RNA is filed under the name Posticobia brazieri. RNAcentral's name for it is "eukaryotic LSU rRNA". It matches the Rfam family "Eukaryotic large subunit ribosomal RNA", at positions 84 to 931 of the family's 3401-position model. Lineage: Eukaryota; Metazoa; Mollusca; Gastropoda; Littorinimorpha; Tateidae. The record is from RNAcentral.